Molecule: long non-coding RNA, 6589 nt
Organism: Chelonia mydas (Green sea turtle)
Lineage: Eukaryota; Metazoa; Chordata; Testudines; Cheloniidae
Exons: 2
Source: RefSeq, a predicted model, not a curated record
AGUAGCAGACUUCCCAUGCAGGUCGUGUUGGCUUUGCAAUGAUGUUCAGACAAAAGGCUCUUAUUGCUUUUAGAUGCACACACACACACACACACACACACACACACACACACACACACACUCACUGUAGAAGUUAUGGCAUCAUGUCUGUGUGAGAAUGAGAUUUCCAACCCUUUUUGGUGGGGGGGGGGUGGAGGAGGAAUUGUUACUAAUCUGGACUGUGAUGGGGGUUAGUGUGGUUAAUCUGGGGGUGAUUAGCCUGAGAGCCCUGUAUCUCUUUAUUUCAGAGGAAUUACUAUCAGUUAACAACAACAGCAAAUCCCCUCUUCUUCCUUCUCCCCCUCCCACUUGGUUUAAAACAAGUAAAAUAAUUUAUUAAAUGCAUCGAGGUCUUAAACUCCUGCAGACACAUCAACCAUAGAUUACACAACGUGACCUGCCUUCCAAUGCUCCUUAUCCCCCACACACACCAAAAAGAGGGGAGGGAACAAAGGGAGACCCAAUCCCCUUUUAUAAAGCACCUCUUUCUACCACCCCCCCUUAAUAUUUGCAGCGGAAACGUUAUUUUUCUAUAUCGAAAUUUGUUUGUACUUUGAACAUUUGCCUGUAAAAUAACCCUUGUGGUAAUACUAAUAAGAUGCAAAUUUUAUAGAGAGCUAAUCGCUUUUUCUUAAUUUAUGCUUCAAGGAAAUGAGGGGCCUUAUCUAAAAACGUUUAAAAAUAGAGCCAGCCAGGUGCAUGAGCUGUUUGGUAUUUCUAACUAUCCCCUUCAUCUGUCUCUGUAUAUCUAGAUGGGUAUGGGUGAUCGUGUUGUGUGUGUAUAGAGAGAAACUAUAUAUAGUAUAGACUAUAUAUAUGUAUGACUCUAUGUAUCUAGAUGUAUCUGGGUGUAUACACUACAUAGCAGCUAUAUAUAAUAUAGAUCAUAUAUAUUUAUGUCUCUAUAUCUAGAUAUAUGUGAGUGAACUUGUGUGAUUGUGUUUAUUUAUAAUCAUAGACUACAUAUAGAGAGUUUUUAUAUACCUAGCAUAGGUUAUGUAUGUUUAUGUCCAUAUAUCUAGAUGUGUAUGUGUGCUUUUGUGUAUGUUUUGUGUGUGCAUAUAAUCACAGGCUAUAUACAGAGGUAUGUAUGGGGUAGAGACGGUAUAUAUCUCUAUGUAUCCAGAGGUAUAUGCCUGGUUGUAUGUAUAUAUAUAGUCAGAGACUAUGCAGAAAGGCUGGAUAUACACUAUAUAUCAUAUAUAUCUUCAUUUUACUCAAAGCCAUUUGGAAGCAAUUUUAUAUGUUUGUACUUUUCCAAAACGUUUUUAGUGACUGGCUUAAUCUGUCAAAGCUGUGGAAGAAUCACUAGAAAGGUGAUAGAAAUAUUUUCAAUGAUAUAUAAAUGAACAACCCAGACUAGGCUAACUUCUCCUGCUUAUUGAUGACAUCAGUCCUAUUCAGGUGAAGUUUUAUUACUGGAAAAAAUAAUGAAGCAUUAACUCGAUUUCAAUAUUUUUAAUUUGCCUCAGCUAAAUCUUUAGCAAAGAGGUUGAAUCUGGAUUUCUACCGAAAUUAAUUUUCAGGAUUUAUUUUUAAAAUAUUUGAUGCUCAACUUGACUUUCUUCAUCUGUUAAAUUAAUCCCUUACUUUGUCCCAAACCAUAAUUAUAUUCACUUCUGAUAAAUAAUUCAUGCCUAUCUCUUACCUUUGGACUGCCCUGUCUUCAAAACAAGCCCAGAUAGGAGUCUUGAAAAAUAGAGUUAAAUAUAAUUUAAUAGAAUCAAAACGGAAUGAUUUUUCUUAAAGUAGACAUGUUUUAACCCGGGAUUAAAAAAAGUGAAUGAGCUACGUUUCUUUAACAAUUAUCCAGCCAGAGACGGUUUAGUUAAACUCGCCAUAGUGCAAACACCAGAAAUGCAAAUAUUCCUAAUAAUAAAUUUGUAAGGAAUCCAUAAUGGUGGAUACAUUGAUCAGUUCCCUAAACUGUAUAGCUAGUCUGGAGUUAGAUAAUUAAAUAAACAAAUCACAAUAAAACACAUUAACUUAGUAUGUUUUAACUGAUGGUGUCUGAAGAGAAAGACAGAGAGUUGCUAGGUCAAAUUCAUCGCUAGUGUAACUCCAGUGACUUCAACAGAUUUACACCCCAGGGCUCAAAGACUAAAUUUAGCUCAGUGUCGUGUAAAUCAGCCGGAUUUAAAUGAAACUUUAAGCAGCUAAUGAAAUAUACCAGAAGCCGAGGAAUCACAAGGAUAUGCUGCAGUGUAAAUAUGUUUUCAAUAAACACAGGGUCCUUACAAAUCCGGAAUCGUUUAGAUGCGACUGGGAUGUCUUUUGAAUGGGUAAUCUGAACUGCACUCACUACUCUGGCUAUUCUCCCAGCCAAUCCACCGCCCCCCCCCCCCCCCGCUUUUAUUUCCCCUUUUAAAUACCCCCUUCUGAAGGAUAUCGGAUGUCCACACGGCACACACUUGCCAUUUCUAACGGGCUGACCUAGUUAAUGGUUGAUGUUGAUUAAUUUUUAUUUAUUUAUUGGAGUUUGCUUUCAGUUUGGUCGUGGCUCAGUCAAAAAUUUAAGGGCUCAUUACAUCCCCCUGCCUAGCACGCUAGAUACUUCGCAGCGCAAUUUAAAUUUGCGCCCAGGUGAGUUUUCCUAAGGCUUCGUCCCGCAAAGGCCUGAGUGCUUUCGACUCCCCCUGACUUUCCUACGAGUUGAAACACUAGACCCUGCCUAGGUUCGAGCCCCUGCUUAUGUAGUCGGGGGCCUAUUUCUGCCGGUAUACGUGAGGGCAGAAUUUGGCCUGACUUCAGCCAUUCUUUACUUUGCGGGAUUUUGUUUUUGCGCUUAUGUUUCUAUACAACACUCCCGCCGUAUUUAAGACUUUAAUAUAUAUGUAGGGGGACACCGCCUGUAUAUAGGUGCACAGUACUCAAGCAGCAUCAGCAAGUGAUAGUACAUCACAUGCAAACAAACAGACCAGAGCGACUUUCGUCUUGAACUUUUGCUGGGUGGAAAGAAGGAAAAGUUACACACCGGAUACAUUUCCCAGUCCACUUUGUGGUGGGGGCUGGGGUGCAAAAUACUGAACAGAGUGAGAUCGCUUUGUAAACAGGACAGCAAUCCCACGUGUUCUUUCCACUCAACCUGGGCAUUGACAUUUUCUCUCGGGACAUAUGAGAGAGAGAGAGAGAGAGAGAGAGAGAGAGAGAGAUUUCUGAUCCUUUGGAAGUCUUCCACCAUACAAGGGAGAGAAAAACAGAAGAUCUUUACCCUGCUCCUUUCUGAAACAAGGGGCAAAUUAAACUGGCAACACUGAAAAGGUGCGGUGUAUGUUCAGGAAAGUUUGCAGGACCGUGAAGUGUGUGUGUAUGUGUGUGAGCGAGAGAGAGAGAGAGAGAGAGAGAGGGAAUAGCUAGAGUCCGCAUCCUUAGCAGCCCCAAUCAACUUGUUUGUAAUUGUAUCUGGCAUUUUAACUACAGCCUCUUCCCCCGUCAUACAGAGAUCUGACACUAAACGUCUGAUCAAUUUAAAACAAACAAGAUUUGUGGGGGAUUUCCAGUCAUAAAUAACCCAAACGGCCUCUCUCGGUUGAUUUUACCGUCCAGGCUGCUUUGUUAGUUGAGAUUGGUUGGUCUGUUCUAGGCACACAGUUAACGAUGGAAGGGGUCGAUCACUGGCUGGGACACAUGGACUUUAGCUGAGGGUCUCCUCCAAAGUUAGGACGAAAGAUGCCGCGAAGGCAGAGAAAUCAUGGCCCCGAUGAAGUCAAUGGCGAAACUUUCCUUGGCCUCUUCAGCGCCAGGAUUCUACCCGCGCUGCUGAGCUAGGGGAGAGUCGCAGGGACCGCACCCGUCCAUCGCCUGCCCUUUCCGGGAUGGGGCCUGCAACUGAGGGUAGAACAGGAGGUGUCUUUGAAACGCCUUUAAUGAGACUCCGAGACAACAACAAUUAUAAUUAUAAUUAUUCCUUGUAGUUGCUAAUUUCGAUUUAUCUUCCAGGGCUCUUUUGUGUGCCUGUCAUUGCCUGUAUAAGCUAAUGGUUUUGCCAAUAGUCCCUUGCUUGUCUCUUCCCAAAGAAAAUCGUUGGGCUUUAAACAAGAACUCCCGACUGCAAAACUCCCGGACUUUGCCCUAAGAGGAGCGAGGACAGGGGAAGACACUGGAAAACGUCUACGGUUAAUUUCCAUAAACUACUAAAAAUAAAGAUGCGAUUAUAAACACACACAUUGCACUGACCAGGGGCCAAGCAUUUCUUCAGCAAACGUUAUGAUGUUUACAUGAAACAAGCCAUUACACCCAGCACAUGCAUCAAUAGCUUAUUUCAAAUAAAGACCUACAUUGCACCAUGACUGCCUCCAUCAUGCCACGUAAGCACCCGAGAUAAUCUGUUGUGUGUUACACAAGAUUUAAGAUCUGCUUUCCCCAGGGCAAGGCUUUUCUCUCUCUCUCUCUCUCUCUCUCUCUCUCUCACACACACACACACACAUACACACACACACCACCAAUCACGGAGGUGAUCAAAAAGGUGCAAAGCCAGAGGACAUCAUUGGUUGGAUCCUCAAGUUAUUGUAGGCUGUUUUUUUUUAAUUUAAAUUAAUUUUAUUUUUUAUCAGCAGGUUUGGGCCCUUUAUGCGCAGGAUGGCUGGUGAGAGAUGUUCUUAAGUGACCUGGGUAUGUUGGUUUAGAACGUUUGCUCUUGAGUUCUAACUCUGGUGGAAUCUUCCUCAGAAGAAGCCAUUGGAGAUCUGCCCAUGACUGUGAUCCACUGAGUCCCUCUCCUGUAUUGAGUUAAAGAUAUCCAGUCCCCUUUCUUCCCCACCCCAGCAGCGAGAAGAAACUGGAGAUGCAAAAAGCUGCCCAAGACCAUAGACUUUUGGAGGCUGUCUUUCCUAAGGUCCCAUUAGCAUGGGGUGUCAGUCAGCAGCCUCUCCCAUCUCUAAAGGGACACCAGCCUCACUGCUGCCUGAAGCCAGAAACAUCCACAACUUCAUCAACAAGCCACAGACUUGCCUUGCAGGGCUUCAACAGGACUCUGGGGCACACGGAUGAUCAUAUCUCACAACUAGCCCUCAAGGUUCCAGUUGUCUCCUCUGCCAUUCCAUGUGGCCUCCCCAAAAAGGCAUUCAGAGCAGAAGCUUUCUGGACCAAUGUCCAAUCCGAACAGUGAUGGUACCAGCAGAGCUCACCCCCAAACAGGACACAACUCCAAGCAAAAAAACCCAAAUUACUUCCCACAGGUCCCUGCUGAGGGCCAGCACGCUUUAUACCAAUGCCCAGCUGGAGAAAGAAUUCCAUGUUAUCAGGUAUCCCUGCUGACAAUGGAGUGUGGGAUUGGCUCAGCUACUCAACCUCAAGCUCUGGUUCCGAAGGAUUCGAAGGAUGAAGAACAAAAGGAGGGAGGGAACUGAGAACCUGUCCCCUAGCAGCUGGUUGGGUAGGAUGUGCCCAGGCGCCAGUCCUACAUCAAGGCCCAAGGAGAUGUGUGGGUUGACAGCCCGUCUCUGACAGCCCUUGUGCAGCUGUCCUGGAAGUUGGAUCCUCCUCUGUCUCUGCAAGGGAAGUGUCAUUACGAAUCCCCCUAAUCUGCAAAGGAGCUGGAGUGAGAAAAUUACCUGGAAAACAUGCCUGGGGCCAGCUCACUCUUCAGCCACAGCUACGCUAUAAACUUGGACCACAGCUGUGCUGCUCAAAUUCCCAGUCAGUGCUACCUUGGGGCCCUGUAACCCCCAUCUCACUUAAACAGACUUAAACACACAUCCUGCACUUCAGGGAAGUUCUCCGGAACUGCAGUUCUUGUGCAUCUGUGAGGGCUCUCUGCCACGGAAACCAAGCUGGGAAAAUUGCUACAGUCCUAUUAUGUCAUUAAAAAACAAAAACCAAAACAAAAUAGAAAAAACCUCUAAGUGCAACCAACAGUAUCCUUUGAUUUCCUCACCCUCUCUAUUCCCAGUUGCCUCCUGUGUAUUAAACUGUACAGAGAUCUGUGCAUAAGGCAUCUAGGAACUGGUGUGUGCAUAUAACCCAGCCAAAAACAGGAUAAGUUCUGUGUGAGCUUAUAACUUGCUCCAUGUAUUUUAUUAAAGUUGAUUUUACUCAGCUGCUUACCAGUGACUUUGUCAGGUACAAAGGUGUCAAUAGCUACCCUUUAAAUAUCCUUACAAUCCUUAAACUUCCUCCAAGCCUAGGGCAACAUUUUUUGAAAAGCAACUCGUGAUUUUAUCUACCUCACUUUCUGGGGGGCGUAUCUUAAAAGGAGUCUGAUUUUCAGAAAGGGUUGAGCUCCCAUCCUCUGCAAAUUAGGCCCCUUUAAGGUGCUUCAAAUUAGGCAACCAGAGAUUUUCUCAUGAGGGUGGUUUUUCCUUUAACCCCUCACAUUCCCCCUACCUGGAAAGAACAUCGCUGUGGCACUUCUACUAGCCAGUGGGUUAUUGUUUGAUAAGCAAAUGUAGAUGUAAACAUGUUUGAACCCACUCAAAUUUUGACCCUGCAAUAAGUUAGCUUCUCACUGUAAUUUACACAUUUUUUUUUCUUUUUAAGAGAGAUUAGUUGGCUCUUGGCAUAGUUUACUGUAUUGUUGUGGUAUUCAAAAUAAAGAGGCCUUUUAAAAACA